ACUUAAUUAGUAUAAAAAGUACAAUUAAUUUCCAAUUAAAAGGUUUAUUAAAAAUUAAGUA
This 61-nucleotide transfer RNA is filed under the name Amblyomma tholloni. RNAcentral describes it as "tRNA-Gly". Lineage: Eukaryota; Metazoa; Arthropoda; Arachnida; Ixodida; Ixodidae. The record is from RNAcentral.